RNAcentral lists this long non-coding RNA (376 nucleotides) under Physcomitrium patens. Its description in RNAcentral is "long non-coding RNA (PPAT_LNC004580)". Lineage: Eukaryota; Viridiplantae; Streptophyta; Bryopsida; Funariales; Funariaceae. The record is from RNAcentral.
UUUUCAACCAUAUUUAUAUUUGGAAAACUAAUAUUCAGAUACAAAUGAUAAUAAAAGAGUUUCAAAGAGGCAAUAUCACAAAUGAGCAAGAAGGAAAGGUUAAUAUAAGGAGAUGCUACAUGACUAUACAAAUGUUUUUAAGAGUAACGUUUCUUUUGAUCAUAUGAAUUUUACAAGACUACAACAAAGCCACAAUAGAUUUGAAUCAAAAAGUAAAUUCAAUAGAAUAAAAAUCAAAACAUCAAAACAAGUCUGAUGAUAUCACUUUUGCACAUAAUGCACGUGCUUUCCAAACACGGAGGGUGUACAAUAUCACAUUAAUAAGUAUAGACAAAAAUAAUUUAAAAAAAAAUGUAACAUUUAUUUAACCACCAAU